This 2754-nucleotide long non-coding RNA is filed under the name Homo sapiens (human). RNAcentral describes it as "non-protein coding LINC00265:19". Lineage: Eukaryota; Metazoa; Chordata; Mammalia; Primates; Hominidae. The record is from RNAcentral.
GUGACAACGGCAAGCUGGCUGCAACGAAGCCGCCCACGUAGGCCUCCCCGGCCUGCUGGAGGAGAGGGGAUCCCCCGGGGCAGAGGCGGCUACACCCGGAGAACCCGGAAACCGGAAGCGCAGAUCCUGCCGGCUCUGGACUAGCCGCUCAGCACCAGGGCGGAAGGAAGACGAGGCGAGGCAAGCGCCAAGCUUCCAUCCGGACUUCAAGGCCAGUGGCUGGGUCUGGUUUUCUCAACACGGCCUCCUAGUCUCCUUCCCGCUUGGGCAUCUGUUUUUCUUAUAUAGACCCUGAAGCCGCCCGUGAUGUUCUGUAAGCAGGUUCCGCUUCAGAAUCAGAGGUACUUAAGAGGGAACCUGGAUGCUAGACCUGCCCUUGCUGCUGGCCUCAGUUUCUUUACCUGUAAAACAGGGAUUUUGGAACUGUUAAAUUAAAUCAAACUUAAAAGAAUUACAACUUAAAGCUGCUGGAACUUUACAUGAUCCCGAGCCUUGAGAGGAAUGUGGCUAUGCAGCCUGAGUCAUGUGGCAUGCAGAUGCAACCUCUGCCUUUUUCCGCUGUAAAUAAUUAAGAAGACCAAGUAGCAUCCAAGUCUCUUGUCCUUCUGCCUGCUGUUGUGGGAUGAUGUGUAGAGGAAGAUAGUCUUCCUCUACACAGCAAGAAGAUCCCUACCAGAUGCAGCCCUCUCAACCUUGGACUUCCUGACAUCCAGAACUAGUCACCUAAGCUGAAGAUUCCCUUGAGAACAAGUACUGUCCUGUGGUUUCAUGGCCUUUCUUCCAUUUGUGGUUCUUGCCAAGCGGAAUUUAAAUGACAUCUUAUCAAGAUGGAUAAACCCUAGUUUCCCAGUGCUGGAAUAUAGAAAAUGGAUGGACAAGUAAAUCCCACUCAGCACCCAUAGCCCAGGCAUGGGGACCUCAACACAUUUGAGCCGCAGAGAUCACCUUUCAUUGUGAAUAGCUCUGAGAUGAUACUUCUGGUUGAAUGUCUUUUUGUCACUUCCGGCUGGAUCUACCAUGAAAGAUUUCUGAAUCCAGGAAGAGAGAUUGACUGGGCAACAUGUUAUUCAGAAACAGGACCUUGCCCUGUCACUCAGGAUGGAGUUCAGUGGUCCAAUCAUGGCUCAUUGUAGCCUCAAACUCCCAGGCUCAAGCAAUCCUACCACGUCAGUCUUCCCAGUAGCUGACAGGGUCUCACUCUGUCGCCCAGGCUGGAGUGCAGUGGCAUGAUCUUGGCUCACUGUAGUGUAGACUUCCCAGCCUCAAGGGAUCCUCCCACCCCAGACUCCCAAGUAGCUGGAAUUACAGGUCUCAUGCUCUCACUCAGGCUGCAGUACAGUGGCACAACCUCUACUCACUGCAGCCUCUACCUGCCAGGCUCAAGCAAUUCUCCUGACUUAGCCUCCCGAGUAGCUGGGAUUACAGGUAAGUGCCACCACACCAAGCUAAAUUUUGUGUUUUUUGUAGAGAUGGGGUUUCGCCAUGUUUCCCAGACUGGUCUCAAACUCCUGAGCUCAAAGCAAUUCACCCGCCUUGGCCUCCCAAAGUGCUGGGAUUACAGGUGUGAGCCACCUUGCUCAUUCUAGUUUAAACUUUUGAGUGGUUUGUGUCUCCUGAUUGGACUCCUACAAAUACAGAAUUGAUGGUAGGAAGGGUACCAGGAGAUAGACCCACACAGAUGGGAUUUGGGAAUAGGUUUGGUUAUCCAAGGAGCAGUGCUGAGCUCCUUGCUAAUGGGAUAUGGGAGGCUGGUGAUUUCCAGGAAGUGACCUCACAAUGACUCAAGCUACCACAUACUGUUCAUUGUGAAAUGCCAGUUGAAGCAUAUGUCCUGUGAGCUUAGGGGUGCUACAAGUUGACCACUGCAGCAGUAAAGAUGAUUCUGAAGAAUGGCAUGGGAUGGAUCCUUUCGAAUGCACUUGAGCAGCGGUCUCCAACCACAGGGCCACAGAGCUGGAGCUGGAUCUACCAUGAAAGACUUCUGAAUCCAGGAAGAGAGACUGACUGGGCAACAUGUUAUUCAGGGUCUCCCUCUGUUGUCCAAGGCUGGAGUGUAGUAGUGCUAUCACAGCUGACUGCAGCCUCAACCUUCCAGGCUGAAGCGAUCCUCCCAUCUCAACCUCCCACGUGGCUGAGACUACAGGCGCUUGCCACUAUGCCCAACUAAUAUUUGGAAUUUUCCUAUACGUGGAUUCCAGAGGGGUGACAGCGAAACGUGGGACCAUCCAGUUGCAGGAAAACGAGCUUAACACGCCCACUGAUUCUACAUUAUGCUCCUACCUCCCGGCAGCCUCUCCAGGCCCAGAACUUUCUCCAGUCGGCCUCCACAGACCAAGCUCAUGACUCACAAUGGCCUAUUUAGGCCCAUACCCUACCUCACGGCAGUCUCCGCAGAUGAGGCUACUGCCUCACAACAGCCUCCACAGGCACAGCUCCAUCGUUACAAUGGCCUCUUUAGACCCAGCUCCUGCCUCCCAGCCUUCUCUCUAGGCCCUGAACUUUCUCAAGUCGACGUCACCAGGCCCAGCUCAUGCUUCUUGGCAGCCUCUCCAGGCCCAGCUCUUCCUCCCGGCGGCCUCUGCAGGCCCAGACUGUCAUCAAGUCGGCCUGUCCAGGGCCAGCUCCUGCCUCCCGGCGCCCUCUGCAGGCCCAAGUCGUCCUCAAGUUGGCCUCCCCAGGCCCAGCUCCAGCCUCUCGGCGGCCUCUCCGGGUGCAAAAGUUCCUCGAGUCAGCCUCUCCAGGCCCAGCUCCUCC